RNAcentral lists this ribosomal RNA (599 nucleotides) under uncultured bacterium. Its description in RNAcentral is "bacterial SSU rRNA". It matches the Rfam family "Bacterial small subunit ribosomal RNA", at positions 338 to 944 of the family's 1533-position model. The record is from RNAcentral.
CCUACGGGAGGCAGCAGUGGGGAAUAUUGCGCAAUGGGCGAAAGCCUGACGCAGCAACGCCGCGUGAGGGAUGACGGCCUUCGGGUUGUAAACCUCUUUCAGCAGGGAAGAAGCGAAAGUGACGGUACCUGCAGAAGAAGCACCGGCUAACUACGUGCCAGCAGCCGCGGUAAUACGUAGGGUGCAAGCGUUGUCCGGAUUUAUUGGGCGUAAAGAGCUCGUAGGCGGUUAGUCACGUCGGAUGUGAAAUCCCGGAGCUUAACUCCGGGCCUGCAUUCGAUACGGGCUGACUCGAGUAUUGUAGGGGAGACUGGAACUCCUGGUGUAGCGGUGAAAUGCGCAGAUAUCAGGAGGAACACCGGUGGCGAAGGCGGGUCUCUGGGCAAUUACUGACGCUGAGGAGCGAAAGCGUGGGGAGCAAACAGGAUUAGAUACCCUGGUAGUCCACGCCGUAAACGGUGGGCGCUAGGUGUGGGACCCUUCCGCGGUCUCCGUGCCGCAGCUAACGCAUUAAGCGCCCCGCCUGGGGAGUACGGCCGCAAGGCUAAAACUCAAAGGAUUGACGGCGNGNGAGNGCGACGACGACGACGAGGAGGAGG